This 345-nucleotide long non-coding RNA is filed under the name Androctonus crassicauda. Lineage: Eukaryota; Metazoa; Arthropoda; Arachnida; Scorpiones; Buthidae. The record is from RNAcentral.
AAAAAAAUGAAGAUCUGUACAAGAUCAGAACUAAGGAUGGAAAGGUGGAUAAAUUAUAUUUCAGUUAGUUUUGUAUCUUUUAUUUAUUUGUUACUAUUUAGAGAAUCUCAAAAUUUGAUAAUGAAAAAAUAUAUUUUUGUAGAUCAGAAUUUGACAUUUGUUGGGAGAAGUUCCCGAUGCUUGAAGAGAUACCAUAUACAGAUAUUUUUUUGAGGACAGCAGCUAGGAAAGUGGCAAUGGUACCUCAAAUGUUCACAUAUUGUGUUUGCAAGAAAGAAUGCAUUUUAAAAAGAUGCUUGUGCAAGAAGAAGUGAAUUUUCUGCAACUCUAAAUGUUAUAACAGUU